Molecule: ribosomal RNA, 618 nt
Filed under: uncultured bacterium
Lineage: Bacteria
Description: bacterial SSU rRNA
Rfam family: Bacterial small subunit ribosomal RNA
Source: RNAcentral
UCACGGGUGAGUAACAUAUAGUUAAUCUGCCCCUUGGAGGGGGAUAGCCAUUGGAAACGAUGAUUAAUACCCCAUACUCCUGAUGUCGUAAAGGCAUCAGGGAAACGUCUUUUCGCCAAGGGAUGAGACUAUAUCGCAUCAGCUUGUUGGUAGGGUAAUGGCCUACCAAGGCAAUGACGCGUAGCGGGUCUGAGAGGAUGAUCCGCCACACUGGUACUGAGACACGGACCAGACUCCUACGGGAGGCAGCNUUGAGGAAUAUUGCACAAUGGGCGAAAGCCUGAUGCAGCAACGCCGCGUGGAGGAUGACGCAUUUCGGUGUGUAAACUCCUUUUAUCAGGGAAGAUAAUGACGGUACCUGAUGAAUAAGCACCGGCUAACUCCGUGCCAGCAGCCGCGGUAAUACGGAGGGUGCAAGCGUUACUCGGAAUCACUGGGCGUAAAGCGCGCGCAGGCGGGCUGAUAAGUUGGAUGUGAAAUCCUAUGGCUCAACCAUAGAACUGCAUCCAAAACUGUCAGUCUAGAGUCUGGGAGGGGAAGAUGGAAUUAGUUGUGUAGGGGUAAAACCCGUAGAGAUAACUAGGAAUACCAAAAGCGAAGGCGAUCUUCUGGAACAGU